GCCUUUAUAGCUCAGUUGGUAGCAGCGUGCCCUUCGUAAGAGGAGUGUUCUCAGUAACUGAGGGUAAGGUCGGCAGUUCGACUCUGUCUGGAGGCA
Molecule: non-coding RNA, 96 nt
Organism: Apiotrichum porosum
Lineage: Eukaryota; Fungi; Basidiomycota; Tremellomycetes; Trichosporonales; Trichosporonaceae
Source: the annotation of a RefSeq genome assembly